CCUACGGGAGGCAGCAGCAGGGAAUCUUGCGCAAUGGGCGAAAGCCUGACGGAGCAAUACCGCGUGAGGGAUGACGGCCUAUGGGUUGUAAACCUCUUUUUUCAGGGAGGAAUCAAUGACGUGUACCUGAAGAAUAAGCAUCGGCUAACUCCGUGCCAGCAGCCGCGGU
Molecule: ribosomal RNA, 169 nt
Filed under: uncultured bacterium
Lineage: Bacteria
Description: partial 16S ribosomal RNA
Rfam family: Bacterial small subunit ribosomal RNA
Source: RNAcentral